UACAGAGGGUGCAAGCGUUGUUCGGAAUUACUGGGCGUAAAGCGCGCGUAGGCGGCUUGCCAAGUUGGGGGUGAAAUCCCGGGGCUUAACCUCGGAACUGCCUUCAAAACUGGCGGGCUUGAGGCCGAGAGAGGUAAGGGGAAUUCCUAGUGUAGAGGUGAAAUUCGUAGAUAUUAGGAAGAACACCAGUGGCGAAGGCGCCUUACUGGCUCGGUCCUGACGCUGAGGUGCGAAAGCGUGGGGAGCAAACAGG
This 253-nucleotide ribosomal RNA is filed under the name uncultured bacterium. RNAcentral's name for it is "partial 16S ribosomal RNA". It matches the Rfam family "Bacterial small subunit ribosomal RNA", at positions 524 to 776 of the family's 1533-position model. The record is from RNAcentral.